Molecule: ribosomal RNA, 132 nt
Filed under: uncultured Cenococcum
Lineage: Eukaryota; Fungi; Ascomycota; Dothideomycetes; Gloniales; Gloniaceae
Description: partial 5.8S ribosomal RNA
Rfam family: 5.8S ribosomal RNA
About the family: 5.8S ribosomal RNA (5.8S rRNA) is a component of the large subunit of the eukaryotic ribosome.
Source: RNAcentral
AAACUUUCAACAACGGAUCUCUUGGUUCUGGCAUCGAUGAAGAACGCAGCGAAAUGCGAUAAGUAGUGUGAAUUGCAGAAUUCAGUGAAUCAUCGAAUCUUUGAACGCGCAUUGCGCCCUGGUAUCCCGAGG